CAGGAGGACAUGUUUUUCUCAAUUACUAAAGUACACAUAACAAAUUAUUUUCAGCACAAAAUACAAUCUUCCAUCUAAACAGUAUAGGGGGCAUUGAAUGACUUGAAGUUUCAUAUAAAGGCUGGAUUUUUUUAUUUUAGCAAGAAGAGUGUCAAACCUGUGUUCAGGUUUGAAGAGAUUGAAUAUCCUUAUGAUUCACCAUUUGUUAACAAAUGGCAGAAAAGUGAAAAUGUCAGAAAAGUGAAGUUUCAUAUAAAGGCUGGAUUUUGUUAUUUUAGCAAUAAGAGUGUCAAACCUAUGUUCAGGAUUGAAGAGAUUGAAUAUCCCUAUGAUUCACCAUUUGUUAACAAAUGGCAGAAAAGUGAAGCCAGCAGACCCA
Molecule: long non-coding RNA, 379 nt
Filed under: Citrus sinensis (sweet orange)
Lineage: Eukaryota; Viridiplantae; Streptophyta; Magnoliopsida; Sapindales; Rutaceae
Description: long non-coding RNA (CSIN_LNC000824)
Source: RNAcentral